Molecule: ribosomal RNA, 486 nt
Filed under: uncultured bacterium
Lineage: Bacteria
Description: partial 16S ribosomal RNA
Rfam family: Bacterial small subunit ribosomal RNA
Source: RNAcentral
AUUGAACGCUGGCGGCAUGCCUUACACAUGCAAGUCGAACGGCAGCGCGGACUUCGGUCUGGCGGCGAGUGGCGAACGGGUGAGUAAUACAUCGGAACGUACCCUGUUGUGGGGGAUAACUAGUCGAAAGAUUAGCUAAUACCGCAUACGACCUGAGGGUGAAAGUGGGGGACCGGAAACGGCCUCAUGCAGCAGGAGCGGCCGAUGUCUGAUUAGCUAGUUGGUGGGGUAAAGGCCCACCAAGGCGACGAUCAAUAGCUGGUCUGAGAGGACGAUCAGCCACACUGGGACUGAGACACGGCCCAGACUCCUACGGGAGGCAGCAGUGGGGAAUUUUGGACAAUGGGGGCAACCCUGAUCCAGCAAUGCCGCGUGUGUGAAGAAGGCCUUCGGGUUGUAAAGCACUUUUGUCCGGAAAGAAAUCGCGCUGGUUAAUACCUGGCGUGGAUGACGGUACCGGAAGAAUAAGCACCGGCUAACUACGUG